RNAcentral lists this ribosomal RNA (465 nucleotides) under Vreelandella stevensii. RNAcentral describes it as "partial 16S ribosomal RNA". It matches the Rfam family "Bacterial small subunit ribosomal RNA", at positions 338 to 795 of the family's 1533-position model. The record is from RNAcentral. Lineage: Bacteria; Pseudomonadati; Pseudomonadota; Gammaproteobacteria; Oceanospirillales; Halomonadaceae.
CCUACGGGUGGCUGCAGUGGGGAAUAUUGGACAAUGGGGGCAACCCUGAUCCAGCCAUGCCGCGUGUGUGAAGAAGGCCCUCGGGUUGUAAAGCACUUUCAGUGAGGAAGAACGCCUGGUGGUUAAUACCCAUCAGGAAAGACAUCACUCACAGAAGAAGCACCGGCUAACUCCGUGCCAGCAGCCGCGGUAAUACGGAGGGUGCGAGCGUUAAUCGGAAUUACUGGGCGUAAAGCGCGCGUAGGUGGCUUGAUAAGCCGGUUGUGAAAGCCCCGGGCUCAACCUGGGAGCGGCAUCCGGAACUGUCAAGCUAGAGUGCAGGAGAGGAAGGUAGAAUUCCCGGUGUAGCGGUGAAAUGCGUAGAGAUCGGGAGGAAUACCAGUGGCGAAGGCGGCCUUCUGGACUGACACUGACACUGAGGUGCGAAAGCGUGGGUAGCAAACAGGAUUAGAUACCCGAGUAGUC